Molecule: transfer RNA, 72 nt
Filed under: Mus musculus (house mouse)
Lineage: Eukaryota; Metazoa; Chordata; Mammalia; Rodentia; Muridae
Description: tRNA-Arg
Source: RNAcentral
GGAGAGAUGGCUCAGUGGUUAAGAGCACCGACUCCUCUUCGAAGGUCCUGAGUUCAAAUCCCAGCAACCUUA